RNAcentral lists this ribosomal RNA (515 nucleotides) under uncultured bacterium. Its description in RNAcentral is "partial 16S ribosomal RNA". It matches the Rfam family "Bacterial small subunit ribosomal RNA", at positions 28 to 523 of the family's 1533-position model. The record is from RNAcentral.
GACGAACGCUGGCGGCGUGCCUAAUACAUGCAAGUCGAGCGGACUUUCAAGAAGCUUGCUUUUUGAAAGUUAGCGGCGGACGGGUGAAUAACACGCGGGCAACCUGCCUGUAAGACGGGGAUAACUCCGGGAAACCGGGGCUAAUACCGGAUAAUAUCUUUCUUCGCAUGAAGGAAGGUUGAAAGGCGGCGCAAGCUGCCGCUUGCAGAUGGGCCCGCGGCGCAUUAGCUAGUUGGUGAGGUAACGGCUCACCAAGGCGACGAUGCGUAGCCGACCUGGGAGGGUGAGCGGCCACACUGGGACUGGGACACGGCCCAGACUCCUACGGGAGGCAGCAGGAGGGAAUCUUCCGCAAUGGACGAAAGUCUGACGGAGCAACGCCGCGUGAGCGAAGAAGGUCUUCGGAUCGUAAAGCUCUGUUGUCAGGGAAGAACAAGUACCGUUCGAAUAGGGCGGUACCUUGACGGUACCUGACCAGAAAGCCACGGCUAACUACGUGCCAGCCGCCGCCGUAA